AACGAACGCUGGCGGCAUGCCUAACACAUGCAAGUCGAACGAUGCCUUCGGGCAUAGUGGCGCACGGGUGCGUAACGCGUGGGAAUCUGCCUUUCGGUUCGGAAUAACUCAGGGAAACUUGAGCUAAUACCGGAUAACGUCGCAAGACCAAAGAUUUAUCACCGAAAGAUGAGCCCGCGUAGGAUUAGCUAGUUGGUGAGGUAAAGGCUCACCAAGGCGACGAUCCUCAGCUGGUCUGAGAGGAUGAUCAGCCACACUGGGACUGAGACACGGCCCAGACUCCUACGGGAGGCAGCAGUGGGGAAUAUUGGACAAUGGGCGAAAGCCUGAUCCAGCAAUGCCGCGUGAGUGAUGAAGGCCUUAGGGUUGUAAAGCUCUUUUACCCGGGAAGAUAAUGACGGUACCGGGAGAAUAAGCCCCGGCUAACUCCGUG
This 433-nucleotide ribosomal RNA is filed under the name uncultured bacterium. Its description in RNAcentral is "partial 16S ribosomal RNA". It matches the Rfam family "Bacterial small subunit ribosomal RNA", at positions 29 to 507 of the family's 1533-position model. The record is from RNAcentral.